GGGGUUUAGCUCAGCUGGGAGAGCGCGGGCUUUGCAAGCCUGAGGUCAGGGGUUCGAUUCCCCUAACCUCC
RNAcentral lists this transfer RNA (71 nucleotides) under uncultured Collinsella sp. It matches the Rfam family "tRNA". Rfam says of the family: Transfer RNA (tRNA) molecules are approximately 80 nucleotides in length. Their secondary structure includes four short double-helical elements and three loops (D, anti-codon, and T loops). The record is from RNAcentral. Lineage: Bacteria; Bacillati; Actinomycetota; Coriobacteriia; Coriobacteriales; Coriobacteriaceae.